GACCUCAAAUCAGAUAAGACUACCCGCUGAACUUAAGCAUAUCAAUAAGCGGAGGA
This 56-nucleotide ribosomal RNA is filed under the name uncultured Agaricaceae. RNAcentral's name for it is "partial 28S ribosomal RNA". The record is from RNAcentral. Lineage: Eukaryota; Fungi; Basidiomycota; Agaricomycetes; Agaricales; Agaricaceae.